Molecule: ribosomal RNA, 487 nt
Filed under: uncultured bacterium
Lineage: Bacteria
Description: partial 16S ribosomal RNA
Rfam family: Bacterial small subunit ribosomal RNA
Source: RNAcentral
GAUGAACGCUAGCGAUAGGCUUAACACAUGCAAGUCGAGGGGCAGCACAAGGUAGCUUGCUAUCUGGGUGGCGACCGGCGCACGGGUGCGUAACGCGUAUGCAACUUGCCCUAUACAGGGGGAUAACCCGUCGAAAGACGGACUAAUACUGCGUAUGCUCACAACUUGGCAUCAAGUGGUGAGGAAAGAAAUUCGGUAUAGGAUAGGCAUGCGUCCCAUUAGCUUGUUGGUGAGGUAACGGCUCACCAAGGCAACGAUGGGUAGGGGAACUGAGAGGUUUAUCCCCCACACUGGUACUGAGACACGGACCAGACUCCUACGGGAGGCAGCAGUGAGGAAUAUUGGUCAAUGGGCGCGAGCCUGAACCAGCCAAGUCGCGUGAAGGAUGACUGUCUUAUGGAUUGUAAACUUCUUUUAGACGGGAAUAACAAGAGUCACGUGUGACUCCCUGCAUGUACCGUAUGAAUAAGCAUCGGCUAACUCCGUG